RNAcentral lists this ribosomal RNA (650 nucleotides) under uncultured bacterium. RNAcentral describes it as "bacterial SSU rRNA". It matches the Rfam family "Bacterial small subunit ribosomal RNA", at positions 49 to 694 of the family's 1533-position model. The record is from RNAcentral.
UAACACAUGCAAGUCGAGCGGUAACAGAAAGUAGCUUGCUACUUUGCUGACGAGCGGCGGACGGGUGAGUAAUGCUUGGGAACAUGCCUUGAGGUGGGGGACAACAGUUGGAAACGACUGCUAAUACCGCAUAAUGUCUACGGACCAAAGGGGGCUUCGGCUCUCGCCUUUAGAUUGGCCCAAGUGGGAUUAGCUAGUUGGUGAGGUAAUGGCUCACCAAGGCGACGAUCCCUAGCUGGUUUGAGAGGAUGAUCAGCCACACUGGGACUGAGACACGGCCCAGACUCCUACGGGAGGCAGCAGUGGGGAAUAUUGCACAAUGGGCGCAAGCCUGAUGCAGCCAUGCCGCGUGUGUGAAGAAGGCCUUCGGGUUGUAAAGCACUUUCAGUCAGGAGGAAAGGUUAGUAGUUAAUACCUGCUAGUUGUGACGUUACUGACAGAAGAAGCACCGGCUAACUCCGUGCCAGCAGCCGCGGUAAUACGGAGGGUGCGAGCGUUAAUCGGAAUUACUGGGCGUAAAGCGUACGCAGGCGGUUUGUUAAGCGAGAUGUGAAAGCCCCGGGCUCAACCUGGGAACUGCAUUUCGAACUGGCAAACUAGAGUGUGAUAGAGGGUGGUAGAAUUUCAGGUGUAGCGGUGAAAUGCGUAGA